Non-coding RNA from Paramuricea clavata, 470 nucleotides. The record is from the annotation of a GenBank genome assembly. NCBI's taxonomy places the organism in Eukaryota, Metazoa, Cnidaria, Anthozoa, Malacalcyonacea, Plexauridae.
AGUGAAAAGAAAUAUUCAGUUCUCAACCUCGUGGGCCAAUGUCAUGGAAGCAAAGUCGAUUCAGUAAAAUCGCUUUCUUGCUCGAAACUUUAAAGCAAAAUUAAACAAGAAAUGUUAUAUUCUCUACCUCAAUUCAAACUGAGAAGGUAUGUAUAUAUUCUUCUGUUAUAUUUAUGUAAAAUGGCCAUAUUUUUUAGCGAGAUAAUCACUUGCUUGAAACGACUUCAAAUGCCGAAGUUGACGAGCGCAACUCGCUUCGCCUUCGAUGACGACGCGCUGUCAUUGUCAUUGAAUUACAGAAUUUAGCCUUGGCUUUUUGCUAAUGCAACCCUGAAUUCAACCCUUGUUAGGGUGAUUUUAAAGCUAAAUUUGUUUAAAUGUUUGUCGUUUUUGCGAAAAUAAUUGAUACAACGCAAUUAAAUAAACUAUGCAUAAAUGAUAAGAGAGAACCAUUAGAAAUAUGAUUGGGG